This 75-nucleotide transfer RNA is filed under the name Pseudomonadota bacterium. RNAcentral describes it as "tRNA-Thr". It matches the Rfam family "tRNA". Rfam says of the family: Transfer RNA (tRNA) molecules are approximately 80 nucleotides in length. Lineage: Bacteria; Pseudomonadati; Pseudomonadota. The record is from RNAcentral. RNAcentral also lists the same sequence under 1 other name.
GCCGAUGUAGCUUAGUGGUAAAGCACACCCUUGGUAAGGGUGAGACCACGGGUUCGAUCCCCGUCAUCGGCUCCA